This 497-nucleotide ribosomal RNA is filed under the name uncultured bacterium. Its description in RNAcentral is "partial 16S ribosomal RNA". It matches the Rfam family "Bacterial small subunit ribosomal RNA", at positions 28 to 507 of the family's 1533-position model. The record is from RNAcentral.
GAUGAACGCUGGCGGCGUGCUUAACACAUGCAAGUCGAGCGAACAGAUGAGGAUCUUGUUGCUCUCUCGUUAGUGGCGCACGGGAGAGUAACACGUGGAUAACCUCCCUAUCUGACUGGGAUAACUUAGGGACACCGGAGCUAAUACCGGAUAAUAUAUUGCACCGCAUGGUUCACUAGUGAAAGACGGUUUUGCUGUCACUUAUAGAUGGUUCCGCGCCGCUUUAGAUUGUUGGUUCGGUAACGGCUUACCAGGUCAAUGAGGCGUAGCCGACCUGCGAGAUGGAUAGGCGACACUGGAACUGGGACACGAGCCAGACUCCUACGGGAGGCAGCAGUAGGGAAUCGUCGGCAGAAGGCGAGAGCCUUGCGCAGCAACGCGGCGUAGGUUGUGAAGGUCUUGGGAUCGGGAAGCAGUGUUAUUAGGGGUGAACAAAUUUUUAAGUAGCUGAACACGUCUUGACGGUACCUGAUCAAAAAGCCACGGCUAACUACGUG